This 581-nucleotide ribosomal RNA is filed under the name Bacteroides fragilis. Its description in RNAcentral is "bacterial SSU rRNA". It matches the Rfam family "Bacterial small subunit ribosomal RNA", at positions 943 to 1533 of the family's 1533-position model. Lineage: Bacteria; Pseudomonadati; Bacteroidota; Bacteroidia; Bacteroidales; Bacteroidaceae. The record is from RNAcentral.
GGUUUAAUUCGAUGAUACGCGAGGAACCUUACCCGGGCUUAAAUUGCAGUGGAAUGAUGUGGAAACAUGUCAGUGAGCAAUCACCACUGUGAAGGUGCUGCAUGGUUGUCGUCAGCUCGUGCCGUGAGGUGUCGGCUUAAGUGCCAUAACGAGCGCAACCCUUAUCUUUAGUUACUAACAGGUUAUGCUGAGGACUCUAGAGAGACUGCCGUCGUAAGAUGUGAGGAAGGUGGGGAUGACGUCAAAUCAGCACGGCCCUUACGUCCGGGGCUACACACGUGUUACAAUGGGGGGUACAGAAGGCAGCUAGCGGGUGACCGUAUGCUAAUCCCAAAAGCCUCUCUCAGUUCGGAUCGAAGUCUGCAACCCGACUUCGUGAAGCUGGAUUCGCUAGUAAUCGCGCAUCAGCCACGGCGCGGUGAAUACGUUCCCGGGCCUUGUACACACCGCCCGUCAAGCCAUGGGAGCCGGGGGUACCUGAAGUACGUAACCGCAAGGAUCGUCCUAGGGUAAAACUGGUGACUGGGGCUAAGUCGUAACAAGGUAGCCGUACCGGAAGGUGCGGCUGGAACACCUCCUUU